RNAcentral lists this ribosomal RNA (440 nucleotides) under uncultured bacterium. RNAcentral describes it as "partial 16S ribosomal RNA". It matches the Rfam family "Bacterial small subunit ribosomal RNA", at positions 338 to 795 of the family's 1533-position model. The record is from RNAcentral.
CCUACGGGCGGCAGCAGUAGGGAAUAUUGCUCAAUGGGGGAAACCCUGAAGCAGCAACGCCGCGUGGAGGAUGAAGGUUUUCGGAUUGUAAACUCCUUUUGUUAGAGAAGAUAAUGACGGUAUCUAACGAAUAAGCACCGGCUAACUCCGUGCCAGCAGCCGCGGUAAUACGGAGGGUGCAAGCGUUACUCGGAAUCACUGGGCGUAAAGAGCGCGUAGGCGGGAUAGCAAGUCAGAUGUGAAAUCCUAUGGCUUAACCAUAGAACUGCAUUUGAAACUGUUAUUCUAGAGUAUGGGAGAGGUAGGUGGAAUUCUUGGUGUAGGGGUAAAAUGCGUAGAGAUCAAGAGGAAUACUCAUUGCGAAGGCAACCUGCUAGGACAUAACUGACGCUGAUGCGCGAAAGCGUGGGGAGCAAACAGGAUUAGAUACCCUAGUAGUC